RNAcentral lists this ribosomal RNA (274 nucleotides) under uncultured bacterium. Its description in RNAcentral is "partial 16S ribosomal RNA". It matches the Rfam family "Bacterial small subunit ribosomal RNA", at positions 523 to 796 of the family's 1533-position model. The record is from RNAcentral.
AUACGGAGGGAUCGAACGUUAAUCGGAAUUACUGGGCGUAAAGCGCACGUAGGUGGUUUAUUAAGUGGGAUGUGAAAGCCCCGGGCUCAACCUGGGAACUGCAUUCCAAACUGGUGAACUAGAGUACGAUAGAGGGGGGUAGAAUUCAGAGUGUAGCGGUGAAAUGCGUAGAUAUUCUGAGGAAUACCGGUGGCGAAGGCGGCCCCCUGGAUUGAUACUGACACUGAGGUGCGAAAGCGUGGGGAGCAAACAGGAUUAGAAACCCCGGUAGUCC